Non-coding RNA from Pelobates cultripes (western spadefoot toad), 294 nucleotides. The record is from the annotation of a GenBank genome assembly. Lineage: Eukaryota; Metazoa; Chordata; Amphibia; Anura; Pelobatidae.
GUACAAAUGGCUGGCACUGGGAUAUUACUGGAAAGAAAACUGAGUGUGGGAGAGGAUUCUUAAUUAAGUUUCUGUCUAAUUAGGGAUCUAUCCAUGCAUUAUAGGAGGCAAAGAGGGGAUAUAAAAAAAUAAAAAUAAAAAAAAAAUCCAACCAUAUAGUAAUUUUUUUCACAGUGUCCCAUUUCCCAAGAAUAACAGUUUAACAAUAGAGCAAGUCAAUGGAAUGUAAAUAUCAUUGGUAGUUAGUAAAUAUUUCUUCUUUCAAACUGCAAAUCCUGUUGCCCUCUACCUGCU